UACCGAGUUUACAACUCCCAAACCCAAUGUGAACGUUACCAAACUGUUGCCUCGGCGGGAUCUCUGCCCCGGGUGCGUCGCAGCCCCGGACCAAGGCGCCCGCCGGAGGACCAACCAAAACUCUUAUUGUAUACCCCCUCGCGGGUUUUUUUAUAAUCUGAGCCUUCUCGGCGCCUCUCGUAGGCGUUUCGAAAAUGAAUCAAAACUUUCAACAACGGAUCUCUUGGUUCUGGCAUCGAUGAAGAACGCAGCGAAAUGCGAUAAGUAAUGUGAAUUGCAGAAUUCAGUGAAUCAUCGAAUCUUUGAACGCACAUUGCGCCCGCCAGUAUUCUGGCGGGCAUGCCUGUCCGAGCGUCAUUUCAACCCUCGAACCCCUCCGGGGGGUCGGCGUUGGGGAUCGGCCCUCCCUUAGCGGGUGGCCGUCUCCGAAAUACAGUGGCGGUCUCGCCGCAGCCUCUCCUGCGCAGUAGUUUGCACACUCGCAUCGGGAGCGCGGCGCGUCCACAGCCGUUAAACACCCAACUUCUGAAAUGUUGACCUCGGAUCAGGUAGGAAUACCCGCUGAACUUAAGCAUAUCAAUAAGCGGAGGAAAAGAAACCAACAGGGAUUGCCCCAGUAACGGCGAGUGAAGCGGCAACAGCUCAAAUUUGAAAUCUGGUCCCUAGGGCCCGAGUUGUAAUUUGUAGAGGAUGCUUUUGGUGAGGUGCCCAGUUCCCUGGAACGGGACGCCACAGAGGGUGAGAGCCCCGUCUGGCUGGCCGCCGAGCCUCUGUAAAGCUCCUUCGACGAGUCGAGUAGUUUGGGAAUGCUGCUCAAAAUGGGAGGUAUAUGUCUUCUAAAGNUAAAUAUUGGCCAGAGACNNGAUAGCGCACNAGUAGAGUGAUCGAAGAUGAAAAGCAUCUUGAA
RNAcentral lists this ribosomal RNA (907 nucleotides) under fungal endophyte. RNAcentral's name for it is "eukaryotic LSU rRNA". The stretch from base 535 to 907 matches the Rfam family "Eukaryotic large subunit ribosomal RNA", at positions 1 to 380 of the family's 3401-position model. The record is from RNAcentral. Lineage: Eukaryota; Fungi.